AUUGAACGCUGGCGGCAGGCCUAACACAUGCAAGUCGAGCGGAUGAAGGGAGCUUGCUCCUGGAUUCAGCGGCGGACGGGUGAGUGAUGCCUAGGAAUCUGCCUGGUAGUGGGGGAUAACGUCCGGAAACGGGCGCUAAUACCGCAUACGUCCUGAGGGAGAAAGGGGGGGAGCUUCGGACCUCACGCUAUCAGAUGAGCCUAGGUCGGGUUAGCUAGUUGGUGGGGUAAAGGCCUACCAAGGCGACGAUCCGUAACUGGUCUGAGAGGAUGAUCAGUCACACUGGAACUGGGACACGGUCCAGACUCCUACGGAAGGCACCAGUGGGGAAUAUUGGACAAUGGGCGAAAGCCUAACCCAGCCAUGCGGCGUGGGUGAAGAAGGUCUUCGGAUUGUAAAGCACUUUAAGUUGGGAGGAAGGGCAGUAAGUUAAUACCUUGCUGUUUGGACGUUACCAACAGAAUAAACAUCGGCUAACUUCGU
RNAcentral lists this ribosomal RNA (483 nucleotides) under uncultured bacterium. RNAcentral describes it as "partial 16S ribosomal RNA". It matches the Rfam family "Bacterial small subunit ribosomal RNA", at positions 30 to 506 of the family's 1533-position model. The record is from RNAcentral.